RNAcentral lists this ribosomal RNA (564 nucleotides) under Triticum aestivum (bread wheat). RNAcentral's name for it is "partial small subunit ribosomal RNA". The record is from RNAcentral. Lineage: Eukaryota; Viridiplantae; Streptophyta; Magnoliopsida; Poales; Poaceae.
AUGUCGACCUCCUCUGCUUCCUCUUCCUCCAGGGCUCGUAGAUGUUUUUCUGGACCAAUGAGGUCUCCCAUUAGAUACAGAGAGGGGCCGCUGGACUACGAGCCAUUCACACCAUGUGAUUGCCGUGAGAAGCCAAAAGCAGCCAUGUGGAUCUCAUGGAGCGACGAGAAUCCAGGUAGAAGAUACAAGACAUGUUACCGCUCGAGGAGGGGAGGUUGUGAGUUCUACGAGUGGCACGACAAUCCGAUCGCAGAUCCUUUCCUCAAACAGCUGGUUAUCGAUCUUAGGGACCAAGUGUGGUUAUUUGAGAGGAGGAACGCUGCUCUGCAAGAUGCUACGAGGACAGCAGAAACUGAAGCGGCAAAUCUAUCUCGACAACUUUCAGAAGCUAUGGAGUCGGCCAUGGACAGCCGUGCCAAAAUGAUGGUGGCUCGUGUGGCUUGUGGUGAUGUUGCUAGACAGUCUGGUGACAAUGCUCGCGUUUUGGGCAAGAACUACCUUAAGAAUUCUAUGUGGGUGUUUGCUAUAGCUCUUGCAAUCUACAUGCUGAUAAUUGUUUGGUAA